Molecule: RNA transcript, 5097 nt
Organism: Eucalyptus grandis
Lineage: Eukaryota; Viridiplantae; Streptophyta; Magnoliopsida; Myrtales; Myrtaceae
Gene name: putative inactive disease susceptibility protein LOV1
Exons: 4
Source: RefSeq, a predicted model, not a curated record
AUUCUCAAGUCAUUCUCUAUCAUAAUCUCCACUGAUCAUAGUCUGAGCAGUGCAAUACCAAUGGCCGAGUCUGUUGUUUCGUCUGUGGUGCAGACAAUAGGAAAGCUGCUCGUCGACGAAGCCAAAUUCUUGUGGGGCGUGAAGGGCAAGGUCGAGGACCUGCAAAAGGAGCUGAACCUGAUCCAGUGCUUGCUGAGGGAUGCGGACGCGAAACAAGAGGAGAACCAAACUGUUCGAGAAUGCAUCUUGCAACUCCGAGACAUUGCCUAUGAUGCUGAGGACGUCAUCGAGCAAUACAUCUUCAGAGUCGCGCCGAAGAAGGGACAAAACAUCAUCAAAGCGUUCUUCAUGGCGAAGUGCACGUGCGUGCGGGCUCAUGUGGUGGGUACAGAGAUCGAGGGCUUAAAAUCCAGAAUUUCCGAUAUUGGUGAUAAGAUGCAGAAAUAUGGCAUACGACCUUUGGAUGAGGACGAACGCAAAUGCGCGAGAGUUUUGACGCCGCGACAGACUUAUGCCCAUUUCGAGGAGGAGGAUUUUGUCGGGAGGGAAGAUGGUAUCGAGGUGUUGGUAAAAGAGCUGAAGGAUGGAAAACACAGAGUUGUUGCUCUAUGGGGAAUGGGUGGUGUGGGUAAGACCACACUCGCUAAGAAAGUCUUCAAUCACGACAAAUUGAAGAACCAUUUCAAAGGUUUUGCUUGGGCUUGCAUAUCUCAAGAAUAUCACACGAGGGAUAUCUUGGAGAGAAUUCUUGUUAAGUUGAUCCCUGAUCAAAGAGAAAGGGUUACAAAGAUGAGAAAUGAGGAAUUGUUAGAAACUCUAUACAAGACCCAAAAAGAGAAGAAAUGUAUCGUGGUUCUUGACGAUAUUUGGACCAAAGAGGUAUGGGAUAGUCUUCGAGCCGCAUUCCCAGUCAAGGACACUAGAAGCAAGCUAUUGAUAACAACCCGCAAUAAAGAAGUAGCGGAGUAUAUCAAUGCUCAUUGUUUUCUCCAUGAACUUCAGUGCUUAUCGCUCAAGGAGAGCUGGGUUCUACUAAAGAAGAGGGCAUUUCCUGAAAUGAAAGUUGGUCGAGGUAUUGUUGCGGGUCAAGCUGUAGAAGGUAUUGCAAGACAAUCAGAGAUGGAGGGACAAAUACCAGAAAUCACUGAAGACAUGAAGAAGUUAGGAGAUGAACUCCUUAAGAAGUGUGAGGGAUUACCUUUGGCCAUUAUUGUGCUUGGUGGACUUUUGGCGGUCAACAAGUGGGAGACGGUUCACAGAAACAUCAAUUUGUAUUUUCGUGAUAAGAUUGAUGUAUUCGAUGUGUUGGCCUUCAGCUAUAAUGAUCUACCAUGGAAUCUAAAGCCAUGCCUCCUCUAUUUGGUUAGCUUUCCGGAGGAUUUGGAAAUCCCUGUAAAGAGAGUCCUUCGCAUGUGGAUUGCUGAAGGCUUUGUGCCGUUCGAUUCAUCUGACGAAGAGGGAGAAACUACAAUGGAAGAUGUAGCGGAGCAAUAUUUAAUGGAGUUGGUUAAGAGGGGACUGGUCCAAGUACGACUCAACUUGAUUGGAAAUAUCAAAACCUGUCGCCUCCCCAACCUGAUGCGAGACUUAUGUGUCUUCAAGGCUAGGCAAGAGAAGUUUCUAAGCUUUCAUAACAUUCAACAGGACAAUGAAAGGGAGGGUAGUUCUUCUUCAAUGGCAAUAGAAGUUGAGUCAACUUGCAAGACGCGGAGGCUUUCUCUUUAUGUGCGUGAGAUUGGUGAAGGAAAGGUGACUCCGGGGGUGGAACAAAUAAGGACUAUGCCCCACAUUCGAACUCUUAUGUUCUUCCAGUUUGGAAAAUCUACCCAAUGGAUGUGGGAGCAAUUUCAACCUAUUUUCGUCAACUAUAAGUUUCUUAGAGUUCUGAAACUGGAACAUAUUUCUAUGGAGAGAGGAAAUUUACCUGAAUCAGUGGGAGACCUAGUCCAUCUAAGAUUCUUAAGUUUAGCAAAAAGUGAAUGCAAGGGCUUGCCGCAAUCUAUGGGGAACCUUGUAUGUAUGGAAUUCUUGGACUUGGUUAUGAAUAAAAGAACUACAGUUUUCAUGCCAAAUGUGUUGUGGAAGAUGAGAAGGUUGAGGUAUCUCCGUCUUCCUCGUAACUUUGAUGUCGAGGAGAAAUUCCCUGGGGGCCAGAAGAAGUUACAGCUGAGCACUUUAAAGAAUCUAUGGACCUUGAGAAACUUUAGUACAAAGAAAUGUGAUGUGAACGAUCUAGGCAAGCUUAUUGAUUUGCGAAAACUGUCUGUCUUUGAUGACUCGGAUGAUCCUAUCGAGCUGGAGAUAUUUUCGCAACUUGCUGAAUUGAAUUGGAAACAUCUUCGAUCCUCGUCUUUUUAUGUCAAAAGAUCUGAGCAUCUAUGGACUGAAGAUGAAUUGAGUAAAAUGUUAAACUAUGGCCAUAUCUGUAAGCUGUUUCUUUGGGGAAGCAUAAUGAAGUUACCGCGACAUAAGGGUUUACCCCAGCAAUUGAGGAAGCUGGUCUUACUAAAUUCCGAUCUCAAAGAAGAUCCGAUGCCAAUAUUGGAAAAAUUGGAAAACUUGAUUUUUCUCAUGCUAUCGGUUGGUUAUUGCAAGGAAAUGGUUUUCUCUGCAGGAGGCUUUCCUCAACUCAAGUAUUUAAAUCUUUCUGAAUUUUUUGAGUUGGAGGAGUGGAGGGUGGCUGAAGGAGCCAUGCCUCAUCUUUCUCGAUUAGGGAUCUACUUUUGUCCCAAUGUGAGGAAGAAAUUGAGGUCGGUGGUACCUUCACAUGUCUCUAUAUAUCGCGGUGAGCACGAAUCACAUGCGGAAUUUGCGAAGUGGUGAAAGUGAGAGAGGAUAAUGAUGUGGGCGGCCAAGGGUGGCCUCAGCUGUCCGGCGAGAGAGGAGGGAGGAGGCGUGAGCUUGUGGGUUGUCGGGGGGUGGGCCCCCCAGAAUAAUUAGCAGAUGUGGAAAAUGAAAAAUUGAUGAAUAACCGCAAUGCUUUACAUAAUUGAUAAAUAUAUAUCAGUGGAAAUAGAGUAUUAUGGCAUUCCUGUGAUAAUUUUUUUUUUUUUUUUUGGUAAAGGCCUGUGAUAAUUUUUUCAUGUCUUCUUUCCAUCAUAAAUCGUCUAUUCGUUUCGUUUUCCCUCUCAUCCCGGAGGACUUCCAAAUCAGUGGGGGGUGGAAUCUGUUAUUUCACUCGCUGUCGAGAGAACCCAGCGACUUUGCUCAUGGGAGACUGCAAAGUUCUCGCGAGCGCCGUGAGGAGGAGGAGGAGGAGGAGGGAAUUCGUUGCUUCUCCAAAAGAAGGCUGGAUGGGGGGAGGCAUCUGAAGAAAUAAGAGUCGUCGCUUGUCGUGGCGUUGGAAGACAGUCAUCGUUGGAAGCUGCUGCAUUGGAGAGGAGAGGAAAGGAGAGCACAUCCGAUCAUUUCCAUAGUGCUGGUCAGAUGUUUGACGAAAUGCGGAUGUGAAGUAGGAACUGGGGAGCAUCCCCAGUGGCAGAUUAAGAGCGAGUUUGUAUAUUUUCAGAAGGCCAAGGAAUCUGCAUCUUUGAAGGAAAUUCCUUCCCUGCAGCUUAUCAAUCAGACAUUGGGUUACACAAGAGAGCUGAAGCAGAUUGUUUGGGACCUGCGGCAGUGCGUGGUGGUUUGCACUGGUAUUUGCACACCUUUUUUUUUUAAUCUAAGGUAGUCACACACUUUGAAGAUUGGUUAUUUUGUGCUGAUGGCAUCUCAUCCCUUUUGCUCUUUUUGAGAAAUUUGAUACUUAUUUUUAGUAAUCAUAUCCAUUUCGCUGUUGAAUACAAUUUUGUAUUUGAUCUGUAGUAUAUUUUCCUUGGUUUACCUGCUUGGAAGAACCAGAAACCGAAAUCAGUCUAGUCACAUGGAGAUGGACAACUUGGCGAAUGUAUACGUCGUUCUUAAUCGGUCUAACCCUAUGAAUAGGGCUAGAUACAAUUAGGUUUAAUCUGUUAUGGUAGAAUCGAAUAUAUGCACACUUGGUGACAUCAAUUGUCUCCGUUGGUCAAAGAGUUGCAAAGCAUCGACAUAGGAAGGCCAACUAGGGUUGCUUGUGUCCAGUUCAAUUUUUAGUUCAGUAGGUUGAAAUAGCCACCAGCUGUGGGCUUGUGCUUGCUCCUGAUUGAUGGUAUUCUGAAGAGACGGCAUAGGACAAUCAUAUAACAAAUUUCUUUUCCCCUUAUUUUUUUCCUAGACUCCGGAUGAGCUCUAUGAACAUGUGAUUUUGCUUUCUACAUUUGCUGCAUAACACUAUCAAGACUGAGCAGAGUCAAUGAAUCUGGGCUUUGCAAUUUGAUAGAGUCUCGAGUGAUCCAUGAUGUAGCCUUUGCAUGGCAAAAUCGUUGCUAAGUGCCGUUGGCCCUCUCUGAUAAGUGAUGUUCCUCCUGCUACGAAAGAACAAUGAAAGUCAUCAUUAGUUUGCCUAAUUGAUACUUUUGACGGAUCGGGGAAGAGCAAGAGGAAGAAUUUAAUGGGUGGGUAUGCAACAAUGGUCCGCCUCUUCUAAAUCAUAACUCCUUGCUGUUAGGAUGUGACCAUCAUUGAUGGAUCUCGUCAUAUCUUAUGAUGAUGUAAUACUGAACAUUUGAGGAAUUCCCAACCGCCCAAAUGUUUUCAAUUUCUUAAUACUUAUUUUCUUGUUUAUUCCUUCCGUUUUUUUUUUUUUCAAAUUACUGUUGGCUUUUCUUGUUUCUUUUCAGUAGGCCCUUCCGCUCCACAAUGCACGUUUUGUUUCCAUCUUUACAGUAUAGUCUUACUCGAUCUUCAAGAUGACAAUACUAAUCAAAAGCUAACAAGUGCAAAGACUUUGCCACCUCGCUUUUCAUUGGGUUUACAGGAUCUUUUGCAAAAUUGCACUUUCACUGGAUUUGCAUGCACAGUGGACCACGGCGAAUGCUUGAGACUUAUAUUGAAGAUGCACGACAUAAGUUAGAGUUGGUUUAUGGUGAGAAAGAUUAAAUGUCAUUCAGUUGCUAAAUUGAAUGUGGAAGCCUCACAUCACCAGCCUUCCUAAAGAACUCUUUAGUACUUAAUGAGUGUGCUGUUAUUAUAAGUGUGAAGAUGGAAGACCAAGAUGCCCUUGAGCGAGAUUUUUUUCAA